AUGGUUUUGAAUUGUGUUGCUUGUUCUAAGAUGAUUUUCAAUAUUUUUGUCGAACAUGAUUGAAGCUUGUGUUAUCAACCUAGCCGGGUGAGAAUGUGUGAACUUUCCAUUGUUUACAUAAAAUAUUUGAGAGCCGGCAAUUGUGUGUGCUCAUUUGAUUUUAACUUAAUAUUGCUGUCACUAAUGUGUUUGAUGUUGUGGAUAUGAUCAAGGCCCUGUUUCUUUUUGAGUGAUAACUACUUGGCCAAAUUUAACCUACCUUGUGAGAUAGUGAUCUUUUGUGUCCCCUGUUGAGCCUUAAAUUUUGAAAAUUGUUUGUUAAACCCUGAAACCGAAAGAAUGGAAAAACAACUACUCUACCCUUGUCUUAGGAUAGGAGAGCAAUUGUAUUUCAAUUAGGGUUAUGGUAAGAUUUAAGUUGGGGAGAAGUAGGUUACGAAAGUUACAAAAAUAAAAUGGUUUGGAAAAGUAGUUGAUUUGGUGAUUGAAAAAAAUGUGAAAAAUAAAUGUUUGACACAAAUGAAAAGAGAAAAGAAAGAAAAAAUUUGUGAAAAAAGUGUCAUUGUAAAAAAGAAAGAAAAGAAUCACCAAUGAAAUAGGGGAGAAAAGAAAAAGAAAGGGAGUAAAUGAAUGUAAAUUUUUAGAAGUUCUUUAAGAUUUUGUUAUUGCUCUCUUAUCCUUGAGGCCUUUUGAAUUCCAAAGAAAAACAAUGAAUUUUUGUAGCCCAGCCCCGUUACAAGCUUAAUAAAGUCCUUAGUGAUCCACGAUUGACAACAUGUUUUGUGACAUUGCUUUGAUAAAUGUUUGAAUUGAAUUGUUGCAUACACAUUGCUUGGAUUGAGUGAAACACUUACCCUUGAGUGAUAUAUUUGUGAGAAUUUUAUGAUAACACUUGAAUCUUGAUUGUUUAAUAAGAAUGUUGAGAAUCUUGCUUAGGCAUAGUAAUCAAUUCAUGAUCAUGCUUUGUUCUUUUGAAUAUUUUGAGGAGUAGUCUUGAGUAGGCAUUGUUUUACUCAUGCUUAGGAAA
This 1027-nucleotide long non-coding RNA is filed under the name Trifolium pratense (red clover). Its description in RNAcentral is "long non-coding RNA (TPRA_LNC004403)". The record is from RNAcentral. Lineage: Eukaryota; Viridiplantae; Streptophyta; Magnoliopsida; Fabales; Fabaceae.